UACGGGGGGAGCAAGCGUUGUUCGGAUUUACUGGGCGUAAAGGGCGCGUAGGCGGCCACCGCAAGUCGACUGUGAAAUCUCCGGGCUUAACCCGGAAAGGUCAGCCGAUACUGCGGGGCUAGAGUGCAGAAGGGGCAACUGGAAUUCCUGGUGUAGCGGUGAAAUGCGCAGAUAUCAGGAGGAACACCAGUGGCGAAGGCGGUGCUCUGGGCCGGAACUGACGCUGAGGAGCGAAAGCGUGGGGAGCAAACAGG
This 254-nucleotide ribosomal RNA is filed under the name uncultured bacterium. RNAcentral's name for it is "partial 16S ribosomal RNA". It matches the Rfam family "Bacterial small subunit ribosomal RNA", at positions 524 to 776 of the family's 1533-position model. The record is from RNAcentral.